RNAcentral lists this ribosomal RNA (1192 nucleotides) under seawater metagenome. Its description in RNAcentral is "eukaryotic LSU rRNA". It matches the Rfam family "Eukaryotic large subunit ribosomal RNA", at positions 1611 to 2807 of the family's 3401-position model. The record is from RNAcentral.
CGAGAUCUACACUCUUUCCCUACACGACGCUCUUCCGAUCUCCUCAAGCUGGACGUGGAUUUGAGUGGCAACACAAAGAAACCCGGAGACGUCAGCAGGUGCCACUGGAAGAGUUAUCUUUUCUUUUUAACAUACUAUGGCCAUGGAAUUGGAUUAUCCAGAGAUAUCGGCUGUACGUAUGGCAGAGCAGCUCACUCUAAGAGCUGUCAGUUGCGCAUCUGAUGACCCUUGAAAAUCUGGGGGAGACGAUAAUAUCACGCCAGGUCGUACCCAUAACCGCAUCAGGUCUCCUAGGUUAGCAGCCUCUGGUCCAUAGAACAAUGUAGAUAAGGGAAGUCGGCAAAUUGGAUCCGUAACUUCGGGAUAAGGAUUGGCUCGGAGGAUCGGGUAUAAAGGCCAGACGAUGAUAUCCAAGCUUGCUUUCUAGUGUGGCAACAUGCUGGUUUGCUUGCGAACGAAGAAUUUAUCUGGUAGGCUUCGGCCGUCUCUAUACGUUUAACGAUCGACUCUGAACUGAAGCGGACAAAGGUAAUCCGACUGUUUAAUAAAAACAAAGCAUUGUGACGGCCUCAACAGGUGAUGACACAAUGUGAUUUCUGCCCAGUGCUCUGAAUGUCAAAGUGACGCAAUUCAUCCAAGCGCGGGUAAACGGCGGGAGUAACUAUGACUCUCUUAAGGUAGCCAAAUGCCUCGUCAUCUAAUUAGUGACGCGCAUGAAUGGAUUAAUGAGAUUACCACUGUCCCUAUCUACUAUCUAGCGAACCCACAGCUAAGGGAACGGGCUUAGAAUAAUCAGCGGGGAAAGAAGACCCUGUUGAGCUUGACUCUAGUCUAACUUUGUGAAAUGGCACGUGGGGUAUAGCCUAGGUGGGAGAGAAAUCGAGCCUGUAAAACCACUACCCACGUAGUCAUUUUGCUUAUUUCGUGAAGAAAAGGCUGGUGCAAACCAGUUCUAAAGUUAAAGGCGAUUUUCGUCUGAUUUUUGCGAAAGACAUGGUUAGGGGGGGAGUUUGUCUGGGGCGGAAUGCCUGUUAAACCAUAACGCAGGCGUCCUAAGUGUAGCUCAGUGAGAACGGAAAUCUCACGUAGAACAAAAGGGUAAAAGCUACAUUGAUUUUGAUUUUCAGUAGGAAUACAAACCGCGAAAGCGUGGCCUAUCGAGAUCGGAAGAGCACACGUCUGAACUCCAGUC